AAGAGGUUAGUUUAAUAAAAACUUUAAUUUGUCAGGUUAAUAUUACUAUUUAUGUACCUUUUU
This 63-nucleotide transfer RNA is filed under the name Planopleura kaempferi. RNAcentral describes it as "tRNA-Asp". Lineage: Eukaryota; Metazoa; Arthropoda; Insecta; Hemiptera; Cicadidae. The record is from RNAcentral.